UCAUGAAGAUGUUUAGAUCUAAACCACGCCAUCGUAGCGCUGACUGCAGGUUUCUGGUUGUCCUGCUGGAAGCUGAACCAUCAUCGUACCCCUAGCAGGUUUUCUUCCAGGGUUGCCAUGUUUUCAGCUCCAUCCACCUUUCCUGUCACUGCUGGAAAGAGUUAUUCCCACAUCAUGAUGCUGCCACCGCCAUGUCUCACCAUAGGGAUGGUGGUUUUAGUUUCCACCACUCUUAGCAUCUUGCUUGUAGGCCUUAGAGGGGAAGGUUUGGUCUCAUCUGGCCAGACCUCCUUAUUUACAAUAUGUGCUGUGAGGCAAACUACAAAUAAGACUUUUCUGAGGCUUUCUUACAAUAAUGUUUUUGUUGCUGCCACUCUUCCACAAAGGACAGAUUAUUUAGUCUCUACCAGGCUGUAACAUCGCUGCUUAAAUACCAGCUUGACUUGUUUACCUGUAUCUGCUGCAGUGACAGGCCUUAUGAUGAUUGUAACCAAUGGAGGGAGUUUUUUUCACUGGUUCUCCUAAACCCUGAAGAUUGGAGCCAACAUCUGAAUGUCCAGACCUGAUAGCAACGACUGUAGCGUCUCUGCAGGGCACCAAACAGGCUAGGACCGCCCCUGGAUGUGAGGACCCAGAGUGGACUGGGGAAAGUUGGCUGAAGAUCUGCAGAGAAUCCAACAGGCUCCAUUCUCUGGAUCUGUGGAGGUGAGUUUCAAACAUCUGGUUCCAGUCAACAACAAGGAGCUGAUUAGAUGUUUCUCCAGGUGUUGAUGUGGUUUCAGAGAU
This is a long non-coding RNA of Fundulus heteroclitus (mummichog), 786 nucleotides long. RefSeq lists it as uncharacterized. Lineage: Eukaryota; Metazoa; Chordata; Actinopteri; Cyprinodontiformes; Fundulidae. The transcript is spliced from 3 exons. The record is from RefSeq and is a predicted model, not a curated record.